GAUCCUGGCUCAGGAUGAACGCUAGCUACAGGCUUAACACAUGCAAGUCGAGGGGCAGCAUGAACUUAGCUUGCUAAGUUUGAUGGCGACCGGCGCACGGGUGAGUAACACGUAUCCAACCUGCCGAUGACUCGGGGAUAGCCUUUCGAAAGAAAGAUUAAUACCCGAUGGCAUAGUUCUUCCGGCACGGUAGAACUAUUAAAGAAUUUCGGUCAUCGAUGGGGAUGCGUUCCAUUAGGUUGUUGGG
RNAcentral lists this ribosomal RNA (247 nucleotides) under uncultured bacterium. RNAcentral's name for it is "partial 16S ribosomal RNA". It matches the Rfam family "Bacterial small subunit ribosomal RNA", at positions 15 to 253 of the family's 1533-position model. The record is from RNAcentral.